CCUACGGGGGGCAGCUGUGAGGAAUAUUGGUCAAUGGACGAGAGUCUGAACCAGCCAAGUAGCGUGAAGGAUGACUGCCCUAUGGGUUGUAAACUUCUUUUAUAUGGGAAUAACAUGUUCCACGUGUGGGAUUUUGUAUGUACCAUAUGAAUAAGGAUCGGCUAACUCCGUGCCAGCAGCCGCGGUAAUACGGAGGAUCCGAGCGUUAUCCGGAUUUAUUGGGUUUAAAGGGAGCGUAGGUGGAUUGUUAAGUCAGUUGUGAAAGUUUGCGGCUCAACCGUAAAAUUGCAGUUGAAACUGGCAGUCUUGAGUACAGUAGAGGUGGGCGGAAUUCGUGGUGUAGCGGUGAAAUGCUUAGAUAUCACGAAGAACUCCGAUUGCGAAGGCAGUUCACUGGACUGCAACUGACACUGAGGCUCGAAAGUGUGGGUAUCAAACAGGAUUAGAUACCCCAGUAGUC
Molecule: ribosomal RNA, 460 nt
Filed under: uncultured bacterium
Lineage: Bacteria
Description: partial 16S ribosomal RNA
Rfam family: Bacterial small subunit ribosomal RNA
Source: RNAcentral